UCAUGAGUAUGCAUAUAAUAUAAUAGAGAGAUAGAUUAUAAAUACAUAAUUAUGAUAAUGGAGGGUGGGGAGAAGGAGAAAGAAAGGUGGCCUAUUAGAGAUGUGGUUGGUUAGAAUGCAAAAUCAUUGUGCACACGUGGAAAGAGACUCCAAUAUUUAGAAUUAGGGCACAACAUAUAUUCAUCCAUAUUCAACUCUCACACAAAUAUUUAUACAAAUA
This 220-nucleotide long non-coding RNA is filed under the name Manihot esculenta (cassava). Its description in RNAcentral is "long non-coding RNA (MESC_LNC011462)". The record is from RNAcentral. Lineage: Eukaryota; Viridiplantae; Streptophyta; Magnoliopsida; Malpighiales; Euphorbiaceae.